RNAcentral lists this unclassified non-coding RNA (801 nucleotides) under Hevea brasiliensis (rubber tree). The record is from RNAcentral. Lineage: Eukaryota; Viridiplantae; Streptophyta; Magnoliopsida; Malpighiales; Euphorbiaceae.
CUUCUUCCUCUUAAGUCUAUGAUUUCUCAUUUUUUUAAAGAAAAUGAAUUGAGAGAAAACAAAUACAAAAAAAAUUGGCCCUUAAAAAAGAAGAGAAAAUAAAGAGAGCCCACAGCACAAUAUCUCAUUAGUAUACAGAAACAUUACUCUUCUUACCAAACAGGUACCCUCACUAACCAGAUCAUCCUCAUUAUUCUCCAUGCUCCCACACUCUGCUCCGUCUAAUCCUAGCCGUUGAUCUCUUCAUUCAUGAACCUUAUGUUCUUCAAAUCUAGGGUUUCCACCGUCAGCCACCGCCAUACAACCCUAAUCUCCACCCAUGUCAUCAAAGAUCAACCAUCACCACCACCACCACCGGUUCAACACCCAGAUUUUCCCUCCUCCUUGUCCCCACUUAGCCGAGUUCCGUGCCCGGAACGGCCCCAUGCCCUUCCGGUCCCUCCAAGAUUGUCUGCGGGCGAAACCACCGUGCGGUCGCGCCGCCAUACGCCGGGAACCUUCCGAGGUUCCUCGAUGUGGCGCGUGCGGAGAAUCUGCGCGGCCCCGGCUCUACGCUUGCGUGGCGUGUGCGGCUAUCUCCUGCCACGCGCCUCCCGAACUAUCGCAUGCGGCUGCGCAUGCCACGUCCAUGCCUCCAGGACACGAGAUCGCGGUGGACGUUGAUCGCGCGGAACUCUUUUGCUGCGCGUGCCGCGAUCAGAUCUAUGACCGUGAUUUUGAUGCUGCGGUGGUCUUAUCCCAAUCCACUACGCUCAAAUCCGCCACAAUCCAAUCGGCGAAACCCGAAAAUCUCUGUAAACG